CCCCUUUUAUACCCCAAACCUAGAAGUUUCCUCAAAAAUCCAAAAAUAUUCCUCUCUAGAACGAAUUCGGACAGAUGGAGAGAAGGAAUCGAUCCAAAAAUCAAUCUACGGUCCCCAUUUUUAGGAAUUCAUUCUCAAAAAAGCACAUGGGAUGGGAAACAUCCGACAGAGACCAUUAGAAUCUUGCAGACGAGGAGCGAGGGAGAAUGUGUGAGGGAUUUUGAGCUCACUCAUUAGGGAUUUGGGCGUUUGAGAGUGGAUUUG
This 264-nucleotide long non-coding RNA is filed under the name Nicotiana benthamiana. RNAcentral describes it as "long non-coding RNA (NBEN_LNC001438)". The record is from RNAcentral. Lineage: Eukaryota; Viridiplantae; Streptophyta; Magnoliopsida; Solanales; Solanaceae.